CUGAACAUCUCAUCAAUCGCUCCUGAAGAUUUGAAGAAGUACGACUGUGUGUUUCAGAUGUCUGGUGUCAAAGACGACAUCAUCACAACUACUGGACAAAUCAGUGAUCAGGACUAACUGGGUUCCUCCAUCAGGGUUUCCUGCUGGUGCUGUCAUUGGAGUAGUUGUAGGUCUGCUGCUGCUGUUGCUCUGCAUCACUGGACUCUUCAUGUGGAGAAAGAAGACUAACGG
Long non-coding RNA from Acanthochromis polyacanthus (spiny chromis), 231 nucleotides. RefSeq lists it as uncharacterized. The record is from RefSeq and is a predicted model, not a curated record. Lineage: Eukaryota; Metazoa; Chordata; Actinopteri; Pomacentridae. The transcript has 3 exons.